Papaver somniferum (opium poppy) is the source of this 2478-nucleotide long non-coding RNA. RefSeq lists it as uncharacterized. The record is from RefSeq and is a predicted model, not a curated record. NCBI's taxonomy places the organism in Eukaryota, Viridiplantae, Streptophyta, Magnoliopsida, Ranunculales, Papaveraceae. The transcript is spliced from 4 exons.
CCUUAUUUUGUCUUUCUUCCUCUCGAUGUCCUCCUUCUAUCGAAUCCCCGAGAUCUUUUGACGAAUGAAUAAAAGAAAUCGGUAGUUGAUUUGUGGGAGCAUGUUUCUCGUAACCUUCGUAAUGAAUAGAUUAUAUUGGUUGUUUGCUCAUGAAGAGAUCUCCUGUAUUGACUGAGAUCAUUGUUACAUCUCUCCAGGGUGCUUGAUUUUUAGAUUGGCUUCCUAAAAUACUUUCUGAUGAGUUCUAUUACUUAAGUCCUAAAAGACUUUCGAGAAUAGCUUGAUUCCAUGUUUCAGAGACUUUUUGAUCAUUCUUAGAGACUUUUUGUGAAAUUGAUGCUACUCGAUUUGUUAAAGAGGGUUCGUUUUUGGUUCCUAAGAAAAUUUAACCUGAACGGAGAGAAAAUUAAAGGUUUUGUUUUUGGUUCCUAAGCAUAGGAACCUAAGAAAAUUUGGCGAAACAUGUUUUAAAUUAAAGGGUCAACAACUUAUGUUUUAAACAAGUUUUCAAAUGCCAAGAACCAUUGUUGAUAGAGGUAGUAUACUUGAAAAGAUCAAAUGCCUUAAGAAGAAUUUUCAAAUGAUUCCUUUUCCUGACUUUGGUCAUUGCAGGUCCUUAUGAAGGGGAGAAUUCGUGUGGAUCCAGAUGCAUAUUCAUACAAGUUUCUUAUUGGAUUCUUGAACAAAAAAAUCACCACAAUGUAGAUGAUUUGUGAGAAAACAUACUCCUGUAACACCUGUUCAUUUUAGUUAACUAUAUUGAAUAUGAAAUUUAUAGUUGGAUUAUCUUACCGCGGGUCCGGUAACAGGCGUGGAAGAUUACUACCUUUGUACCGCUAUCCUCUGUGUUGUUGUUGAAUGACGAUGUUUCCUCCGUACAUAUCAUAUUGAGGUAAAUUCGAUACUUCCGUCUUUCCAUUUGUUAUUUCAACCCAAGACCAAAGUGGACUUACGUCAUAGUCUGUUGGAAAUCGUUAGGCAUGAAAGUUCCGUCCAAAAUCUUUGCGGCACAGAAAAGUCAUAAUAUGAUUAGAUUAGGGGUCUUUGAUUUUCUGACGAGGAAAAUUUUUAAGUUAAUUUCAUUCAAAUAUUUUUGAUCUUAUGUCUAUAAAGGAUAUUACUAAUUAUCAUAUGUGGGUUCAAUUAUGCGAAAGAAGCUCCCAAUUAUGUUAGGCUUUGAUCAUUGUAUUAAAAUUUACGGUUUUACAAGACAACAACAGCAGCUAAAAAGAAAAUUUGGCGAAACGUGUUUUAAAUUAAAGGGUCAACAACUUUUAAGGCUUUCAUGAUAUUAAGCCGAUUCCCACAGAAUCGGUGAUAAAUUAACUCAAGGGUGUUUUCCCACUAUGUAUUUGCAGCCCAAAAUUAUUCACGAGAGCGGAUGGCACUGUCUUGGUUGCAAUGUCAGUUGUACUGCCCUUACGAAAGUAUUGGCUUUGUUAGCAUAUUUACCUGAUUCAGGUGGAGCCUGUUUGGAAGGAAGAGUAUACCUGUCCAAUGGCUACAUAGUUUUAUAUUGAUAUAAGAUUUGACAGCAGUUGGAGUACUGGUGGUAAGUGCGAAUAGUUCUGGUGGUAAGUACUGGUCUACGAUUACUCUGUACUUGACUUGGUUCCUAACUCAACUUCAGAUAUGAGGAAUGGAAGUUAAACUCACAGUAAAAAGGGUUGGGGCGAUGGAGAUGUUGGCUUCUACUAAAUCGAUAAUCAAAAUUGAACAUUUAAGGUCCAAGUAAUUUUGCAUAUACUUUGUACUUAACCCAUAUCCGUUCGCUCUGCACUUCUGUCCGUAUCUCAAAUUCUUUCCAAUUGUACUUUUUGUAGCACCACCAUUUUUAUUAGCUUCAACAAUUAUCAAAAUUAACCACAUUAACAUUUAGUCAUUGCCUAGGAUCAUCCAUACGGAUGCAAGAUACAACUAUGGCGUGUCUAACACAAGUGGGAAAGUUUUUUGUUUGAUUCAAAUAGGUCCACUCCCUUUAUUCUUUGAGUUUGUGACCAAUUCUUAACCUUUCAUUUAUAACAUGCAUGGUGGCGCCAAUAGGUACGUUUCUUAGGUAGAACUACUUUAAAAACUACCUAACCCAUGAAUUGUAUAUAGCCCGGAUUUUGUAUCCUUCAUGUGUGUUUUUACUGUCAUUUUUGUUUUUCAUAUGAUACAGUUUGUACUUGCUUCAUAUUAUGCUUUACUUCACUACUGCAUCCUUCGUUAUUGGCUUGGCAGAAAGUUUGCUUUGCAAUAUGGAUAGACUAUGAAAAGUCUAAGGACAUGGUUUGCCUUCCUCACUGCUGCAUUUGAAUUCCUAGCAUCUUGCUAACAGUCGGUGUAGACUACUAUCUGCGGUUGAAGGCAUAAAGCUAUUAGCUACUGCCAACAAUUUGGUUCAAUUCGAGUGCAUAUAUACCGUUUGGGUUUAUUGAUGUUCUCAGGUGUUUGAGGAUCAAAACGAAAUAAAUAAAAAAGUGAUUUUUUUAUCCU